GACGAACGCUGGCGGCGUGCUUAACACAUGCAAGUCGAACGAAGAGCGACGGAGGCUUGCUUCUAUCAAUCUUAGUGGCGAACGGGUGAGUAACGCGUAAUCAACCUGCCCUUCAGAGGGGGACAACAGUUGGAAACGACUGCUAAUACCGCAUACGAUCUAACCUCGGCAUCGAGGAUAGAUGAAAGGUGGCCUCUACAUGUAAGCAAUCACUGAAGGAGGGGAUUGCGGCUGAUUAGGUAGUUGGAGGGGUAACGGCCUACCAAGGCGAUGAUCAGUAGCCGGUCUGGGAGGAUGGACGGCCACAUUGGGACUGGGACACGGCCCAGACUCCUACGGGAGGCAGCAGUGGGGAAUCUUCCGCAAUGGACGAAAGUCUGACGGAGCAACGCCGCGUGAGUGAUGACGGCCUUCGGGUUGGAAAGCUCUGUUAAUCGGGACGAAAGGCCUUCUUGCGAAUAGUGAGAAGGAUUGACGGUACCGGAACAGAAAGCCACGGCUAACUACGUG
RNAcentral lists this ribosomal RNA (510 nucleotides) under uncultured bacterium. Its description in RNAcentral is "partial 16S ribosomal RNA". It matches the Rfam family "Bacterial small subunit ribosomal RNA", at positions 28 to 507 of the family's 1533-position model. The record is from RNAcentral.